GUUUCAUCUUGCAGGGCUGGGGUAAGAUGAGUUAACUUUGUUAAACAUAUUGGUGUGUCAUAAAUAUGUAUGCUGCCUUAGAAACCAUCAGCUUCCCUAGUCAUAUUGAGUCAUACAUCUGGAACACAGCUGAAGGGGUUAAUUAAAAACAGCUGCUUCUAAUCGUGCUUGUGCUUGCGUUUGCUUCCCUAUGAAAGGGCAAGGGAAAGACAGAAUCCAAAAGACAGAAAAAGGAGCCUUGCAGGGAGAUGGGAAGUCUCCAGUGGCCAAGCUGAUGUGAGGAGAGGCUGGACUCCGAGAAUCAGGAAAGAGUCCUGAUGAAUACCUUAAAGUGGGCUGAAGUUACAUACAAAUGUAGCAUUAAGAUAGAACACACUCAGCUUAAAUAUAAGGCACAGCCAGUUAUGCAAGUCAAGCUCUCUCUCUGAACUGGAGCUCACCAGUUUAGCUACGCUGCCUUGCCAGUGAACACCAGGGAUCCAUGGGUCUCCAUCCAAACAUUGGGCUACAGGUUUUCGGCUACAAAAAUUGAUUCUUGGAGGAACUAGAUUCUAGAUGGACAAGAUAUGAAAAAUAAAGGAUGAAGCAACUGUUAUCAUGACCUUUGGGGCCUUCCAGAUGCCACCAGCUAGAGACAACAGAGAAGAUAUCGUGUGUUGUAGAUGUUGACAAACACUCUUACAGAGGUCUGGAGAGAUAUCAGCGGUUAGCAGCUUAUACUACUCUUAUAAAGGACCCGACUUUGGUCCUUGCACUCAUAUCACACAACUAACAACCAUUUGUAAUUCAUCUCCAAUGGAUCCAGCACCCUCUUCUGGCAUCGGCAGGUACCCGUACUCAUGUGCACAUACUUGUACACAGACACAUGAUGAAAAGUAAAUUAAAUAAAAAUAAAUAAAGCCAGAAACCUAAAA
Long non-coding RNA from Mus musculus (house mouse), 914 nucleotides. RefSeq annotates it as predicted gene 12415. The transcript is spliced from 3 exons. The record is from RefSeq and is marked validated. Lineage: Eukaryota; Metazoa; Chordata; Mammalia; Rodentia; Muridae.